RNAcentral lists this ribosomal RNA (435 nucleotides) under uncultured bacterium. RNAcentral's name for it is "partial 16S ribosomal RNA". It matches the Rfam family "Bacterial small subunit ribosomal RNA", at positions 29 to 507 of the family's 1533-position model. The record is from RNAcentral.
AGCGAACGCUGGCGGCAGGCUUAACACAUGCAAGUCGAGCGGGCACUUUCGGGUGUCAGCGGCGGACGGGUGCGUAACGCGUGGGAACGUGCCCUCUGGUUCGGAAUAACUCAGGGAAACUUGAGCUAAUACCGGAUACGCCCUUUUGGGGAAAGGCUUGCUGCCGGAGGAUCGGCCCGCGUCUGAUUAGCUAGUUGGUGAGGUAACGGCUCACCAAGGCGACGAUCAGUAGCUGGUCUGAGAGGAUGAUCAGCCACACUGGGACUGAGACACGGCCCAGACUCCUACGGGAGGCAGCAGUGGGGAAUAUUGGACAAUGGGCGCAAGCCUGAUCCAGCCAUGCCGCGUGAGUGAUGAAGGCCUUAGGGUUGUAAAGCUCAUUUAUCCGGGACGAUAAUGACGGUACCGGAGGAAUAAGCCCCGGCUAACUUCGUG